UAAAAAUUUGUCUUUAUUGAAGUUAUAUUUUUUAAUAUAGAUACAAUAUUCUUUAUGAAAUUAUUUGAAAGCAUUAAAGGGUACUACUCUUUGAUAAGUAUAUGGACAUAAUUCUUUAAUAGUAUACGUGUCAACCUAUUGCUGAUAACUAGUAAGGUAUAACACAUUCAAGUUAAGAUGUAGAACUUUUGAAAAUAACUGUGAAUGCCCAGGUACAAUAUUGUAUCUCCUUGGCUAAAUUUCAACUGCUUUCAGCCCUUGUUUAAUUCAGCCUUGAUUUUUUCCUGCCAGGGUAAGUACAAGCUAACCUUGGACUCACACUGAACAUUUGCUUAUUGUCAACAGUCUUCCAGGUUUCUAGUCCAUGUCCAGCUCCUGGUACUGCUUGGUAUUUUACCGUUCCUGCCUUUUGUAGCAGCUUGGAAUAAAAGAAUUCCCAUAGGGACACCAUCUCUUCUCUGGUCAAUGAGUAAAUCCAGUUGGCCAAGACUGGGGCUCAGGUUGAAGACACACCUGAAUGAAGAUGGAAGAAAGGAAUUGAAGAUAUUCAACCUUGAGAAGUGAAGACUCCGGGGAAAUGUGAGCACCAUUCUCAAAUCUUAUUAUGUUCAAGAAUUUUGUUCUGUUUGGCCCCAGAAUGAAGAGCUAAGAUGACCUCCAAGGUCCUUUCCAACUCUGAGAUUCCAUGACUCUACGGUUACUGUUCAGUAACUGUUCAGUUGUUUGCAACAAACCUCCUAUCUUUAUCUAUCUUAUAGGACCCAAAAGGCCAAGGGCAAUAACUUUUUAGGGGAACCAGGGAGCAAUGAAAGCUGUAAUUUCCUUCUUGGAACAGAAAAAUAAAACUCCUCUCUAAAAUGAGGGAUAUGCA
This 871-nucleotide long non-coding RNA is filed under the name Phascolarctos cinereus (koala). RNAcentral's name for it is "lncRNA (ENSPCIG00000036551.1)". Lineage: Eukaryota; Metazoa; Chordata; Mammalia; Diprotodontia; Phascolarctidae. The record is from RNAcentral.